Non-coding RNA from Hydra vulgaris (swiftwater hydra), 253 nucleotides. The record is from RefSeq and is a predicted model, not a curated record. NCBI's taxonomy places the organism in Eukaryota, Metazoa, Cnidaria, Hydrozoa, Anthoathecata, Hydridae.
CAAAUUGAGUUUUUAUGAUUUUAAUUUAACAUUAGACUUAAGAAUAUGUGUAAGAAUUGAGAAUAAAUAUUUACUUUUUAUUUUAGAAAUGAACACACAAGAAAAUUUAAACGACGAUGAUGGUGACUUUUUUAGAAAAAAAUUAGAAGAUUUACAAAAGUCCAUAGCUGUUGCUUCUUCUGCUACAAGUAAGUUGUUCUAUUCACUUAUACUUACCUUAAUUUAUUGAUUAAUUGGUUUUAUUGCAUUUUUA